RNAcentral lists this transfer RNA (60 nucleotides) under Eulimnogammarus vittatus. RNAcentral describes it as "tRNA-Gly". The record is from RNAcentral. Lineage: Eukaryota; Metazoa; Arthropoda; Malacostraca; Amphipoda; Eulimnogammaridae.
UGAAUCUUAAGUUAUAUAAACUAUAAGCCUUCCAAGCUUAAAAAAAAUUAUUAGAUUUAA